UCUUCCCCAGACUCAACUCUCGGGCCCCGGACUCUCGGCCUAGCGCCCUGAGAGCCCGGCGCCCGGGUGCCCCGCACCCCUACUGCCUAUGGGUAAGACGGCCCUGGUGACACCUUGUGAGUGGAACCUCCAUCUAAAUCUGCAUUGGCUUUCAUGCACAUUAACAUUUCCAUUUGAAUUCUCAUCUGUACUGACGUUGCAAAAAUGGCAAAAGCAAAAAAAUAAAAUAAAAAAGGGCUCAAAUGUGUUUCAUCUAGCCCAAUUCAGCGUAUUUUUAUGUGGUGAACCACCCUGUAAUCUUCAGAUAAAGGACAGUAUGCAAAUAUGAUAAUUUUAAAAAAUGAUUUGGGUGGAGCUUCCUUCUUUGCAAAAACAACAGCCUUUUGCGCACAAACUUUCAUUGGCAGCAGUCUCUGAAAGCAGGAGACUAAAGAUGUAGUUGGCAUAUAAAACACAUGUAUAAAUAUGGUAGGGGCUGCUGCCCCUACUUGGGUUGCUCACCAACCCUGUCAAAGUGAAGGUCCUGCAUUAAUGCCUGGAAGUGGUAUUGAACUGGAUGUGGAUCAAGAAAUGGAAGUUGAAUCCAACCAAGAUAGAAGCUCUGUGCUUUGGGGGUUACCAUGUCUGGGAUUUGGUCAGACAACAUGUUCUGGAUGGUAUUGCACUUACUGAAGAGCAAGGGUGUGGUUUGGGAGUUCAGUCUAGAGCUAUCAUUGUCACUUGAAGCUAAGGCGACCUCAGCAGCUGCUUAGGUUGGUCCAUCAGCUACAGCUUUUUUUGGGCAGGAAUAGCCUGACUACAGUUAUCCACACCCUGAUAACCUCCAGAAUGGACUUUUAUAAUACACUUUAUAUGGGUCUUCCAACUCUUGAAGGCUCUCCAGAAUUUGCAACUAACGCAGAAUGCGAUGGUGAGAAUAUUGAUAUGAGUAGCGGGGUUGUUGUGUAUAUAACACCCAUUCUCAGACAGAAGCAACUGGUUGCCAGCUAUCUUCUGGGCCUAACUGAAGGACUUAAGUUGAUAUCUAAAGCCCUGAACGGACUGGACCCCAAAUAUCUGAGAAAACGCUUUCUCCUAUAUCCAUCCACCUGCCCACAUACUAAAAUCAGUGGAAGAGACUUUCCUAGUGAUUCUUGUAUUAAAGGACCUGUUGAGUGCAGCGACCUGUGGAAGGUCUUUUUCAGUGGUGGCUUCGCAUCUUUGGAAUUACCUUCCCACAACUCUGUUCUUUCAUAUGCCUGUUGAAAACCCACCUUUUCCACCAGGUUUUUAGUGGCUAAUAGGUUAAGCCAUUUUAAUGGUGUUUUUAAGUUAUGCUGUUUAUGUAACUUGUGAGAAUGAUGUUAAUGCUUUUGUUUAUUUUGUAGUUGUUUUUUUCUUGUUUGUAAAUAUAGUGAAGGGCAGUAUGUAAAUAUCUUAAAAAGGAAACUAAUAAAUGAUGGUUGCACAUGCAGGUACAUUGCAGUAAUUUCACACAUGACGUGUGCCUGCAAAAAACCUGAUGUGGUUGCUUGUAAUUCUUCAAUAAUAUGCAAGAUUAGCAAAUAUAAAUGAGAUUGCUUCUCUUUUCUCAUAACUGUUUUUUAAUUUUCAGAUAUAUGUAAGUGAAGGCAAGGAGACAAGACAUUAAAUUCCAAAUAUUUGAGCUGUCAAAACAUAACCACAACAUCAGUAUGCAAGAUGGUGUGUUUAUUUUGUUUUCUGUUUUGUUUGUUUUGCUGUUGUGAUUUGGUUCAACCCAUCCUGUGCACUCAGUUACAGACGGAAGAAAUUUUAGGACUGGACCAUAAAAUAUGAUCUGUUUGGCCAGAGGAAGCAGAGAAUGGAAGUUGAGAUGUUUCCAUAUUUUAUUUAAGGAUAACUAAUUCAGUUUGUUGCUCUUUGUGAUAAUGACUUCUAAUUCUACAGUCACUCUUUCUCUUUGAAGUCCCUUUGUUUGAUGAAUAAAUCUGCA
This 1954-nucleotide long non-coding RNA is filed under the name Podarcis lilfordi (Lilford's wall lizard). Lineage: Eukaryota; Metazoa; Chordata; Lepidosauria; Squamata; Lacertidae. The record is from RNAcentral.